This 506-nucleotide ribosomal RNA is filed under the name uncultured bacterium. RNAcentral describes it as "partial 16S ribosomal RNA". It matches the Rfam family "Bacterial small subunit ribosomal RNA", at positions 29 to 523 of the family's 1533-position model. The record is from RNAcentral.
AGUGAACGCUGGCGGUAGGCCUAACACAUGCAAGUCGAACGGCAGCACAGGAGAGCUCGCUCUCUGGGCGGCGAGUGGCGGACGGGUGAGGAAUACAUCGGAAUCUACUUUUUCGUGGGGGAUAACGUAGGGAAACUUACGCUAAUACCGCAUACGACCUACGGGUGAAAGCAGCGGACCUUCGGGCCUUGCGCGAUUGACUGAGCCGAUGUCGGAUUAGCUAGUUGGCGGGGUCAAGGCCCACCAAGGCGACGAUCAGUAGCUGGUCUGAGAGGAUGAUCAGCCACACUGGAACUGAGACACGGUCCAGACUCCGACGGGAGGCAGCAGUGGGGAAUAUUGGACAAUGGGCGCAAGCCUGAUCCAGCCAUACCGCGUGGGUGAAGAAGGCCUUCGGGUUGUAAAGCCCUUUUGUUGGGAAAGAAAUCCAGCUGGCUAAUACCCGGUUGGGAUGACGGUACCCAAAGAAUAAGCACCGGCUAACUUCGUGCCAGCAGCCGCGGUAA